Molecule: ribosomal RNA, 217 nt
Filed under: Campeiostachys nutans
Lineage: Eukaryota; Viridiplantae; Streptophyta; Magnoliopsida; Poales; Poaceae
Description: Elymus nutans partial small subunit ribosomal RNA
Rfam family: Eukaryotic small subunit ribosomal RNA
Source: RNAcentral
GGAUCAAUAUGUCGGUCGCGCCUUCGGUACGUACUGGUAUCAUUGGUCUCUCCUUUUUGACGAACCAUGAUGUCAUUAAUUUGGUGUUAUGGGGAGUUAGGACUGUUACUUUGAAAAAAUUAGAGUGUUUAAAGCAGGCUUUAGCUUGAAUACAUUAGCAUGGAAUAAUGAAAUAGGACGUUUGAUUCUAUUUUGUUGGUUUCUAGGAUUAAACGUA